GACGAACGCUGGCGGCGUGCUUAACACAUGCAAGUCGAGCGGUAAGGCCCUUUCGGGGGUACACGAGCGGCGAACGGGCGAGUAACACGUGGGUGACCUGCCCUUAGCUCUGGGAUAAGCCUGGGAAACUGGGUCUAAUACCGGAUAUGACUCCAUGACGCAUGUUGUGGGGUGGAAAGCCUUGUGCGGCUAGGGAUGGGCCUGCGGCCUAUCAGCUUGUUGGUGGGGUGAUGGCCUACCAAGGCGACGACGGGUAGCCGGCCUGAGAGGGCGACCGGCCACACUGGGACUGGGACACGGCCCAGACUCCUACGGGAGGCAGCAGUGGGGAAUCUUGCGCAAUGGGCGAAAGCCUGACGCAGCGACGCCGCGUGGGGAUGACGGCCU
This 387-nucleotide ribosomal RNA is filed under the name uncultured bacterium. RNAcentral describes it as "bacterial SSU rRNA". It matches the Rfam family "Bacterial small subunit ribosomal RNA", at positions 28 to 417 of the family's 1533-position model. The record is from RNAcentral.